CAGUAGCCGCGGGAAUGUGUAGGUGGCAAGCGUUGUCCGGAAUUAUUGGGCGUAAAGCGCGCGCAGGCGGAUCAGUUAGUCUGUCUUAAAAGUUCGGGGCUUAACCCCGUGAUGGGAUGGAAACUGCUGAUCUAGAGUAUCGGAGGGGAAAGUGGAAUUCCUAGUGUAGCGGUGAAAUGCGUAGAUAUUAGGAAGAACACCAGUGGCGAAGGCGACUUUCUGGACGAAAACUGACGCUGAGGCGCGAAAGCCAGGGGAGCGAACGGGAUUAGAUACCCCUGUAGUCCCUGUCUCUUAUACA
RNAcentral lists this ribosomal RNA (301 nucleotides) under uncultured bacterium. RNAcentral's name for it is "partial 16S ribosomal RNA". It matches the Rfam family "Bacterial small subunit ribosomal RNA", at positions 509 to 809 of the family's 1533-position model. The record is from RNAcentral.